This 1367-nucleotide long non-coding RNA is filed under the name Oryctolagus cuniculus (rabbit). Its description in RNAcentral is "lncRNA (ENSOCUG00000038097.1)". The record is from RNAcentral. Lineage: Eukaryota; Metazoa; Chordata; Mammalia; Lagomorpha; Leporidae.
CCCAAUUCCAGCUGUUGCAGUGUUUUGGGGAGGGAGCCAGCUGAUGGAAGACCACACUCUGUCACUCUCUUUCUGGAACUCUACCUUUCAAAUAAGGAAAAUAAAUAAAAAAAAGAGAUUUUUAUCAAAUCCUUUAGGUAAUUUUGUCAAUGAUUAUGUGAAUUUCUGUUUUAAAUCAUAUAACUUCUCUGGGUACAAUCUGGUCAUUCCUUUGUAAUGACGUUAAGUUUAUUCUUUAUUAAAAUAAACCCCUCCCAAAGCAUGAGGGUGACAAGUGGAGAUAGCAGAUGUUUUAUUCAUAUUCAAUCUCAACACAAAAACUUUCAAUAAUCAAUGAUUAUGUGGUAAUGUUGAUGUGCAGAUAUUUAUUGUGUUGUGUUAAACCUUUCUCUCUGCCAUGUGUCACCAAUGUUAACCAUUUCCAGGGGUGAUUCUCUUGGUCAUUGCUAGACUCCACUUGGAGAGCACUGCAUUCAAUUCUACAAAUUGUGGGACUGCUUCUCAUUUGCCUCCUGAAUGAGAUGGCCUCAGCAUCAUACUUUUCACACCAGGUUUAUUUGGUUUUCCUGCACUGUGAUUGACAGAAUGCUCUCUCUCUCUCUCUGUAGGAAGUGUUUAUGGAUGUUUUUUUGUCCCACACCAUUGAAACAUUCUCUGGAAUUCCUUGUGGAGUGAUUUUUUCCUGCUACUCAGUUUCAUCCUGGGAAACUUUGCAUGUUCAUAACUUUCUACAUUUCUCAUGUUUUUAUGGGACUCACCUAGAGGCUGAAUGUGCCACAGUGACCCUAAGGUAAAAUCAAGUAAAGAGAACACUAAAGAAUUGCUGUGAUGCAGGAAAGAUAGUUGUGUCUGUGAAAAGUGCUGUGAAAACAGAGGUGAUUAAGAGGAUGGGAAGCUGUGGGAGAUUCAAUACUUAAUAUUGAGUACAAUGCAGGGGCACCUCCCAGCAUCUGUGUAAAUCUAUCCAUAAUGAUCCCCUCCCCUUCUUAUUCUGAUGUAUUUAUUAUUUGGAUCCAAUCGAUUGGGAUGUCAGUGAGAAGUGUCUCUACAUUUAAAUACUCAUCAGCAGCUGCCUGAUUGUUUCUCAUAGCUCCAUGGUGCACUGCUUUGCAGUAUAUUUACUUUGCAAAACCUUUCAACCAACACCAGUUUUUUCUCAGUAUCAUCACUCACAUCUCAAAUUCUCUGUCCUACUUACUCGGUGGUCAGUUCCAGUCCCCAGGGACAGAGGUGAACUGGUGACUGUAGCUUGAACCUUUGCCUGUAUCUUUGUUUGCAAGGCUAAGGAAUUCCACCUCGCCUGUCCAAAGACUCCAAGACUUGGAUUCCAAUCUUUCAAGAACUCCCUUUUUAAAGCAGCACAGUAC